AGAAUGUUGAGGGAAUGCAAACCCAUGCAAUCAGCUGUUCUAACAAAGCAUUCACAUGAAUGCAAAUCCAUGCAACAAACAAAAUAUAAUUACAGGCAUAGUGAAUGGCAUCGAGAAACUAAGGACCACGAGGCUUGCCGAAGCAGAAACAACGAGAUGCCUGGUCUUCGGGUCGCCUUUCUGGAUUUGCAUCCCAACAUCUUCUCAUGAUAUUUGCCAAGGAACUCGGGCAACAUCGAGGGAUUUCUGGUCGUAAAUUCUGUUGCAAAGAGUGUUUAUAUUUAUGGUGUGAAGAAUGAAAAGUCACAACCUUUAGAAGAAAUCAACAUACCUGCUGCACAACUGCAGAUGAGACUUCAGCAAAACUGAGAUCUGGGUAAGGCAUAUCGCAACAAUAUGUUUCCCACAAACAUAUACCAAAACUAUACACAUCACAUUUACGAUUAUAAGGCUUGCCAUCAAGGACCUGUAGAAGAAAUCUUGUCAAAAUUACAAUUCAAAUGAGAAUUGGAUCUGUUAAGGUCAAGCAUUCUAUGACUAAGAAACCUCUGGGGCCAUGUAACCAAGGGUGCCAGUCUCUCCAGUCAUAUCCCUUGGGUUCUGUGCUUCGACUCGGGCGACGCCAAAAUCAACGAUUUUCAGAGUCUUCUGAGCAUCUAGCAGCACAUUUUCUGUUUUGAUAUCACGGUGUACAAUCUUUUUGGAGUGUAGAUAGCUCAAACUGCAAGAUCAAAAUAUGCAAUAGCCUCAAAACUCAAAUCCAAAACAUUGGCAUAUUGGAAUGAUUUGUAAAUGUUUACUUACCCUCUAGAAAGAUCCAAAACAAGUUGAAUUACAACCUUAAGUGCAAGUUUCUUUUUCCUAUUUUUUAUUAAAAAUCCCUUUAGUGUU
Long non-coding RNA from Cucurbita moschata (crookneck pumpkin), 891 nucleotides. RefSeq lists it as uncharacterized. The transcript is spliced from 3 exons. The record is from RefSeq and is a predicted model, not a curated record. NCBI's taxonomy places the organism in Eukaryota, Viridiplantae, Streptophyta, Magnoliopsida, Cucurbitales, Cucurbitaceae.